Molecule: ribosomal RNA, 513 nt
Filed under: uncultured bacterium
Lineage: Bacteria
Description: partial 16S ribosomal RNA
Rfam family: Bacterial small subunit ribosomal RNA
Source: RNAcentral
GACGAACGCUGGCGGCGUGCCUAAUACAUGCAAGUUGAGCGCUGAAGGUUGGUACUUGUACCGACUGGAUGAGCAGCGAACGGGUGAGUAACGCGUGGGGAAUCUGCCUUUGAGCGGGGGACAACAUUUGGAAACGAAUGCUAAUACCGCAUAAAAACUUUAAACACAAGUUUUAAGUUUGAAAGAUGCAAUUGCAUCACUCAAAGAUGAUCCCUCGUUGUAUUAGCUAGUUGGUGAGGUAAAGGCUCACCAAGGCGAUGAUACAUAGCCGACCUGAGAGGGUGAUCGGCCACAUUGGGACUGAGACACGGCCCAAACUCCUACGGGAGGCAGCAGUAGGGAAUCUUCGGCAAUGGACGAAAGUCUGACCGAGCAACGCCGCGUGAGUGAAGAAGGUUUUCGGAUCGUAAAACUCUGUUGGUAGAGAAGAACGUUGGUGAGAGUGGAAAGCUCAUCAAGUGACGGUAACUACCCAGAAAGGGACGGCUAACUACGUGCCAGCAGCCGCGGUAA